UCCUUUGUAAUAAUAUUCUUUAAAUGCGCAAGUAUAUUCAUCUAUAUAACACAUAUUACAUAUUGCUAAUUUUAACAUUAAAUUUCUAUUUGUAUCUUUUUCUUCAUUUUGUUCUUCUUCGAUUGUUGUCGUACUACCAAAUUCAUCUUUUAUAGCUGUUUCAUAUUUUUUUAAUAAUUCUAUAGGUGUUAGUUUAGUUGUUGUCGAUGAUGUUCCUUCUAUAGGUUUAUUAGUUCUUAAUACUUUUUUGCUAUUUUCGGUUAGAUUUGCAAACCAUAGUUUUACUGAUCCUAUUAGUGUUUUUUCUAUAUAUUCCGGUGCAUCUGUUAUAUUUAUAUUAUUAUCUAAUAAUUGUUUUGUCAUAUAUCCUAUCCAUAAUUGUAUUAUUUUUUCUGUAUCUAUUACACAGUCUAGAUCUAAAAAGUUAUAAUUUUUCCAUUUAUCAUAUUCAUUAUAUUUUUUAAACUUAUUCUUAUAAUAUAUGGGUUUUCUUAUUUCUGUUGUUUUAGGUAUUAUAUUUUCAUUUUCUUUUUUAUCAAGAGUAUUUAUUUCUGUGUGGGUAUUUUCUAAGUUUUCCUCAUAAAUUUUUUGUUCUUCAUUGAUUUCUAAACUUUUUGUAUUUGUUAAUAUUUCUGUAUAUGUUUCACUAUCUUCGGACUCAUAAUUAUCUGUCUCUUCAAUAUCUAUAUUAUUUGUUUCUAAUUCUUCGUUUUUUUAUUUCUAAUUUUUUCUUAAAUUGAUUUAUCUCAUUCAAUAAUUUCUGUUCUCUAUCUUUUUCUUCUUUUUUCUUUCUAUUGUUGUUCAUACAACUCUUUUAAUAUUUGUAGUUCUUUUUCUAAUUCAGCAAUUCUACUAUUUUUAGUUUCUUCUAUUUUUCAUAUUUUUUCCGUAAUUUGUUUUUUUAUUUUUUCUAUUUCCUUUUUCCUAUCUAUCUCUUCAUUUUCUUUUUCUAUUCUUACCAUUGCUGUUAAUUUAUUUUCUAAUUUUAAUUCUUCUUUUUCUAACAUUAUUCAUCUAUAUAACACAUAUUACAUAUUGCUAAUUUUAACAUUAAAUUUCUAUUUGUAUCUUUUUCUUCAUUUUGUUCUUCUUCGAUUGUUGUCGUACUACCAAAUUCAUCUUUUAUAGCUGUUUCAUAUUUUUUUAAUAAUUCUAUAGGUGUUAGUUUAGUUGUUGUCGAUGAUGUUCCUUCUAUAGGUUUAUUAGUUCUUAAUACUUUUUUGCUAUUUUCGGUUAGAUUUGCAAACCAUAGUUUUACUGAUCCUAUUAGUGUUUUUUCUAUAUAUUCCGGUGCAUCUGUUAUAUUUAUAUUAUUAUCUAAUAAUUGUUUUGUCAUAUAUCCUAUCCAUAAUUGUAUUGUUUUUUCUGUAUCUAUUACACAGUCUAGAUCUAAAAAGUUAUAAUUUUUAUUCACUAUUUGUUUUGGUAUCCAUUUAUCAUAUUCAUUAUAUUUUUUAAACUUAUUCUUAUAAUAUAUGGGUUUUCUUAUUUCUGUUGUUUUAGGUAUUAUAUUUUCAUUUUCUUUUUUAUCAAGAGUAUUUAUUUCUGUGUGGGUAUUUUCUAAGUUUUCCUCAUUAAUUUUUUGUUCUUCAUUGAUUUCUAAAUUUUUUGUAUUUGUUAAUAUUUCUGUGUAUGUUUCACUAUCUUCGG
RNAcentral lists this long non-coding RNA (1650 nucleotides) under Capsicum annuum. RNAcentral's name for it is "long non-coding RNA (CANN_LNC005389)". The record is from RNAcentral. Lineage: Eukaryota; Viridiplantae; Streptophyta; Magnoliopsida; Solanales; Solanaceae.